CCAUGUUAUGAGGACACUCAGGCAGUACUGUGGAGAGCUGCACAUGGUAAAGAACUGAGCCCUCUUGCCAACAGCCAUAUAUCACUCGGAGCCAAUCUCCAAUCAUGCUCAGGACAGCAGCAAAGUAAGCAAGUCCUACAAGGAUCCAGAACCACACAACAGGCUUAUAGAAGUCCAGAUAUUCAAUAUCGGAUCCACCUGAAGACAUAAACAAAGUAGAACAAAAUAACUUCAUAUUCCUAAAAGUCAACAGUCCAGACUUCUGAGAUGCAGCCCGUGAGAUGCCAUCACCCGCUCUCCCUCCUAGGUCCCACACCAACCUGGCAGAAAUAUUCACUCCACUGGUUUUUUUUUCUUUAUUGCCACUAAAAACAUGCAUAUAAAUCCUUUCCAUUUUAAGAGCUUGCUGGCUAAUCAUAAUAGGACACUAUACAGAUGGUAAUAAAAAUAGCAAAGAGGUAUGGAGGUACAAAGGUUUUGGGAAUCUUAUAAACUUUUCCAAGUAGUUAAAAUAAAUCUAAUCAUCCUGACAUUCUUAUAUGAUAUGUGACAGCUGCUUUUAGAUGGUGUGCUCUCUCUGGAUCUCUUCUCCUUAAUGCUUGUGUGAAAAACUCAAUCAGAGCCUGAUCCAAUCUAGUAGAUUAAACUACAAAAAAAUAUAGCUCAGGAAAGUUCAGGCUGGUAUUAUUGCUAGGAAACCAUUAUCUCCACAAAGCAGGUUUCUCGAACAUUUGUUGGAAACAGUCCUUCUACCUAGCAUUAAGAAAGCCCUGUCCUAGCUGGCUCCAAAGAAUCAUUGAUUAGGUGACAGAACAACCCAUGAUGCUGUGGCAGGCACU
Molecule: non-coding RNA, 839 nt
Organism: Saimiri boliviensis boliviensis (Bolivian squirrel monkey)
Lineage: Eukaryota; Metazoa; Chordata; Mammalia; Primates; Cebidae
Source: RefSeq, a predicted model, not a curated record